ACUUUAAAUUUUUAUCAAUUUAACUAUUCACAAAAAUAAAAAAAUUGAAUACUUUUAUUUCAUAAAAUUUGGGGUCUCACACUAAGGGUGUAAAUGAAUUUAGUAUAGCUGAUUUAGCUACUGAUUCGAGCUAAUUUCGCAUCUGUGGCUACUGUUUUGAGGUGGGGAAGGUGUGUAUACAACAACAUCCAGAAAUUCAUUCAGUUCCAACUCACAGUUAAUGUGGCAGCUCUAGUAAUCAAUUUUGUGGCAGCCGUUUCGGCUGGUGCAGUGCCUUUUGUCACAGUUAAUGUCCAGUUAUUGUGGGUAAAUCUCAUUAUGGACACACUGGGAGCUCUUGCUCUAGCCACUGAGCAGCCCACAAAAGAAGUAAUGGAUAAGAAUCCUGUGGGCCGUACCAAGCAACAUUAUGUAGAGGAACCUAACAGAUCAAGCCUUGUAUCAAAUAAUCGUCCUCUUGACCUUACAGUUUGGAGGUGAAUCAAUCUUCAAUGUAAACGAGAAGGUAAAAGAUACUUUGAUAUUCAAUACCUUUGUCCUUUGCCAGGUCUUCAAUGAAUUCAACGCACGGACGUUUUUGAGGAAAUUCAUAAGAACAAGUUGUUUCUAGGAAUUAUUGGGAUAACCAUCAUUCUUCAAGUUGUGAUGGUGGAAUUUCUGAAGAAGUUUGCAGAUACAGAGAGGUUCAGCUGGAGCAUGUAUUGGAAUUGCUUGUGCCUAUUGGUUUUCUGGUGAAGUACAUACCUGUUUCAGAGAAACCAUUUUUCAGCUAUCUCAAGUGGUACAACUUGAAGAACAGGAAAAAGCAUUAGAACAUGCAGAAGCAGUAGACAAAGUAUUAUUAGUUUCAGUAGAGGUAAUUGUUAAUCGUUCUUUUUUAAUAUUAAUUUAAAUUGAUGCAUGUAUAAAUCAAUUUACUCAUACGCUGCAUGCAUUAUAGUAGUAAUCAUAUGAAUAAAGUCAUCACCAGCAAUGGAAGCUCUAGUACAUUUUAAUAGCAGUAGUAGAACGGAGACAAUUCUCAACAUACAUGAAUUCUGGGUUCUGGCCAUCUAGAAUUAAGCUUUGAGGCAAUCAACUCGCUUUCAAAAUUUCAGAUACAACGGCAUGUUCGGAGAAGAUUAACAGUUUGUCCUCCUGAAUCUCCUUACUUCUCAUGUCCAAAUAAUGGAUACCUAUCAAUGAUGUCUCUGUAGGCUGCUAGUAAGAAACUUUGAAGAAAAAUGUUAAAUGGAGGGCAAUGACAAGAAUAACUAAUAGGUAUACAGCUUGAAGCAAAUUUUCUGAUGAAGAACAAUGUAGUGCUCCCUAAGAGAAUAUAUAUAUAUAUAUAUAUAUAUAUAUAUAGUACUAGCAGACCAAGUUGACAAGUACUCCCAUUGAUUGAGAACUGUACGCUAAAAGCUUUGAAGUAUUCAUUGAGCAAAAUUUAUCGAUUGCAUGUUUAAUCAGAAAGAUGAGGUGGUACAGAAUAAUACUCUCAACUAGUGAUUGGCAGUGCAAUCAGAGUUGUAGAAAAGAGGAGCAUCAUUCAUAAUAAGCAAGUGCACUUCUAGAAAAUUAGUAAUAGAAUGAAGGUUGGUUUUUGUAUAUGUUAAAAACUAAUUGCUACAACUAUUUCCCUCAUUCGAAAUGAUGCAUUCAUUCCGAAAAACAAUGGCAACUUUUAUAAAUCAUGAACCUAAUUAUUUCUACCUAGAUAGUACAGUACAUUAACUCACUCUAGGUGCCACCAGAACAUAGUACAAAACCUAAAAUCUUUCCUCAAUGUAUGCUUUCUCUAAUCCCCAAUUCACCAUAUACGCUUUGUACAUUGUUAAUUAUAACAAACAGAUGGCAUGCAACAUGAAAC
This 1852-nucleotide long non-coding RNA is filed under the name Panax ginseng (ginseng). Its description in RNAcentral is "long non-coding RNA (PGIN_LNC006288)". Lineage: Eukaryota; Viridiplantae; Streptophyta; Magnoliopsida; Apiales; Araliaceae. The record is from RNAcentral.